GAUGAACGCUGGCGGCGUGCCUAAUACAUGCAAGUCGAGCGAAAAGACGAGGAGCUUGCUCCUCUGACGAUAGCGGCGGACGGGUGAGUAACACGUGGAUAACCUACCUAUCAGACUGGGAUAACUUCGGGAAACAGGAGCUAAUAACGGAUAAUAUAUUGAACCGCAUGGUUCAAUAGUGAAAGACGGUGUUGCGGUCUGUUAUAGAUGGAUCUGCGCCGCAUUAGCUAGUUGGUAAGGUAACGGCUUACCAAGGCAACGAUGCGUAGCCGGCGUGAGGGGGUGAGCGGCCACCCUGGAACUGAACCGCGGUCCAGACUCCUACGGGAGGCAGCAGUAGGGUAUCUUCCGCAGUGGGCGGGAGCCUGGCGGAACACCGCCGAGUGGGUUGCAGAAGUCUUCCGAUCGGGAUGCUCUGUUGUUAGUAAAGAACAAAUGUGUAAGUAACUAUGCACGUCUUGACGGUACCGAAUCAGAAAGCCACGGCUAACUACGUG
RNAcentral lists this ribosomal RNA (497 nucleotides) under uncultured bacterium. RNAcentral's name for it is "partial 16S ribosomal RNA". It matches the Rfam family "Bacterial small subunit ribosomal RNA", at positions 28 to 507 of the family's 1533-position model. The record is from RNAcentral.